This is an RNA transcript of Motacilla alba alba, 1264 nucleotides long. It is a transcript of the gene named translation initiation factor IF-2-like, with no coding region annotated. The record is from RefSeq and is a predicted model, not a curated record. The transcript has 2 exons. Lineage: Eukaryota; Metazoa; Chordata; Aves; Passeriformes; Motacillidae.
CAUGGCGAGCAGCGGGGUGGGCGAGCGGCGUGUAGAGAUCUACAGCCCUCAGCGGGCGGAGCGGCCCCGAAAGGUGCGGGUGGGUGCGCCCACCCCGGCGGUGCCGGCCCGACGGGGCAGAGCGAGGGAGGCGGCCGGGGGGACGCAGGAGCGCUGGGGGGAGAGCGCGGCCGAGGGCACAGGGCACAGAGCAGCCGCGCUCCUCCCGCAGCGCCCCUUCAUAUACACCGCGGGCUCCGCCCUGCCCGCGCUGCCGCCAAUGCGGAUCCGCCGAGAGCUCCGCGGGCGGGGCCCGGGGCGGGCGGGGCUCGGUGGGGGCGCGCCGGCGGCGGGAGCGUCAAAGAGGGAGGGGGCGGGGGGCUGCGGCACCGGCAGCGGGGGGAAGGGUGGGUAUGGGCCGCCCACUGCUCACCGGAGCUCCAACCCGCCGGGCCGGGCAGGUGCGUGCGUGCUACCGCGGGGGCGCGCGUCCUUGCCUGGCUGGAGCUGCGGGCGCGUGUGCGCGCGCCGGUCCGCACACCUGUGCGCGCGCCGCUCCACACGCGCGCCUGCCCGUUCCCGGUAUUCCGCCCUGCCCGCUCCCUGCGGCCCCUGCUCCCCACAGCAGAGCUGGUCGGCCGGGCGCUGCUGAGCACCGUCUGUCUCCCUCUCCCGUUCCUGGCGCCCCGCGCGGCCGCCCGCUCCGCUCCGCCGCGCCCGCCAUACUCCGGUAGGCUCACGUGUAACACGGCUGCGGAUAUAAUGAGCUCCGACAGCGCUCCCGUCCCGGCCCCGCGCUCCGCCGCCCGCGCCCUGGGAGUACCAGCCGGGAGGGGCGGGCAGGGGCUUCCUGGCGGCAGCGGGCCUUGCCUGUCCCCUGCGGCGGGAGGGACAGGACUCGCACACGCGGCAGCCGCCGCCGCCCUUGCGGGGUGACCUUUAGGGCGCUGCACAGACGCCACAGCCGCCUUGGGGUCGGGGAAUACCCAGCCGCCGGCAGCGCACCCCCCUGGCCCGGCCGGGUGGGGUUGGGGGAUUCUCUGCGGGGACACCUCUGUCAUCACAGGUCUGGAGUUGCAAUGAAUGCACAUAAGAUGAGCCUUUCUAUGGUACUCCCUAGCAGGUGCACCUUCUGGCAGUUCCCUGCAAGAAUGACCUAGCCUGGAAUCAAGGACCACCCAAACUCAACAUGCUCUCCUCAGGUCUCAAGAAGAAGUGGUCUGGCCACCAUCAUCACAUACCCUUCCUAAGCCAUUAAAGCUAGCAUUUAGGGAACAAGCCAUAA